RNAcentral lists this ribosomal RNA (250 nucleotides) under uncultured bacterium. RNAcentral describes it as "partial 16S ribosomal RNA". It matches the Rfam family "Bacterial small subunit ribosomal RNA", at positions 524 to 773 of the family's 1533-position model. The record is from RNAcentral.
UACGGAGGUUGCAAGCGUUGUUCGGAAUAACUGGGCGUAAAGGGAGCGCAGGCGGUCUCGUAAGUCUAAAGUGAAAUGCCAGGGCUCAACCUUGGACGUGCUUUGGAUACUGCAAGACUUGAGUACGUGAGAGGAGAGUGGAAUUCCAGGUGUAGCGGUGAAAUGCGUAGAUAUCUGGAGGAACACCGGUGGCGAAAGCGGCUCUCUGGCACGUUACUGACGCUGAGGCUCGAAAGCGUGGGGAGCGAAC